Odontomachus brunneus is the source of this 8699-nucleotide RNA transcript. It is a transcript of the gene named casein kinase I, with no coding region annotated. The record is from RefSeq and is a predicted model, not a curated record. Lineage: Eukaryota; Metazoa; Arthropoda; Insecta; Hymenoptera; Formicidae. The transcript has 11 exons.
GCGGGGAUUGGCAGGCCUGCCGGUGCCCGUAGCAACACGAUUCACCUAUGGCCCCGUGGAGCGCCGUCCCGUCUUCCGCGAGCGCUUGAUCGCGGGUGAGACGAGUCCCAGGGUGUCGUGGGUGCGACCGUACGGCGGUGCACUCCGUGCAACGCGAAAGCGUCGCGCGGUACCUGCAGCAGCUGGUCCUGUCCGCGAAUUUCGUGUCUAAGGAAGAGGAGGGGGAGAAGGAAAGAAAGAGAGAGGGAGAAAGAGUGCAAAGGUAGAGAGCGCGUUCGUCAGAAUUCGGCAAGUGUUCGUGUCGGGCGGCAGAGGGGUGAGAAGUGAGAGAAAGAGAGAGAUUGUGCCCAUGUCAAAUCCGAUCGGGCGUUCCGUUGACACAGUGCGACAGCGAAGAGACGGAUCCUCGGUGCGUGAAGCGAGCGAGAAGGAGAAUAGAAAAAAGUGCGCUUACACAUACGCAAUAAGUGACUGAAGAGAAGAGACGAGUGCGCACGGCUCUAGGGAAUCUCACGGCCCCGCCGUUGCCAGUCCGGGAAUCGACGGACAGGAGUCUCAAGUGCUGCGAUCGGGUUCGCGAGUCGCCGAGUGAAGUUGCGUCGAGUCGUGUCGUGUCGCGUCGCGUCGGCUGGUCGAGCCGUGGCGGAGCAAAGAGCAGUCGAGGUCUCUCGAUCGCACGCGGUUUGUUCGCCCGUACGCCCGCCCGCGCCUACACGCGCUCCAUUCGAUCGCUCGUUCGUUCGCUCGGCCGCCUCGCUAGUCGGUUAGCUGACUGGCUGGCUAGCUGGUUGGCGUAAUUCGCGUGUGGGUCGGCGGCGCGUAAUGGAGGUGCCGACGGCCGUGAAGUUCGCUCGCGGUACCAAUACCAUCACCGGCAGCAGCGUCAGCUACAUCGGCGGCGGCAACAGCAACAACAACAACAACAACAAUAGCAGCAGCAGGAGCGGCAACGGCACAGCCGUGCACGAGAACGACCGCCGCCGCUGUCGCCGCCACGGUAAUGCCGUGCGCCGCGUCGUCGCGUGAGCCGCGCGAUUCCUGUCGUCGACUGUUCCACACGGUCGGCCGCCGGGCGAGAGAGACGGGCCGAAAUUGCUAUGGGAUCGUCCGGACCGACGACGCUCGUCAACGCCGUGACGGCCGCUCUGUACCUCCCGCUGCCGUGACGAUCACUACCGGUCGCGCCGGCCGAAGAAGGAGAAGGAGCGUCAGCAUCAGCAUCGAUACGCUUCCUCGACGCGCCGCGACUCACCGCACCCUUCCACGGCGUCCUGCGUAUCUAUCGUUCCUAAGGUGUAAACAUUUGGAGACAGAGUGAAAGAUAGAGUGACGGAGACAGAGAGAAGGAGAGAUAGUGAGCGAGAGAGAAGUGUAGAAGAGACAGAGAGAGAGAGAGAAAGAGAGCGAGCGAGAAAUAGAUCGGCGAUAAAGCGAGCGCGGCUCGGCGAGAGGUUAGGCUUGGCACGGGGAUUGAUCCCCGAGAGAUGGCAUCGCCCGUCGAACUCUGACAGUCAGCCAGCCCCUUCGACACAUCCCCCGUUUCCCCGCGCCCUUCCGCGCCCUACGCGAGUGUACACCGCGCCCGCGCGUGCCCUUUUCCGCUCGCGGAAAUUGCGGCGAGUGUCGUAUCGUGUCGUGUCGUGUUCCACCGUGCCGUGUCGUAUCCGUCGUCCGCGCUGUCCGGAGCACGAGGAAUGUCCCGCACAGGGAUCGAUGCUCGUCGCUGAUACCGGGAUUGACGUCGUCGCCGUCGCCGUCUAGUCGCGUGGCCGACGUUGACGCGAGCGUGUAAGUGCGCGGAAUCGUGUGACCGCCGCGCCAGUUGGAUCGUAUCGAUCUCGCAAUCGCCGCAAUCGUGGAUAACAACGGCCGGUACGAGAUGCAGAAGCCAGGGCACGUGAGGGACCGUGAGGGUCGCGACAAGGAGCAGCUCGGGGCGCGCAAUGACCAGGAGGUCACCAAGAGGCCGUCCAAGGGCAGCGGCAACACCGGCCGACCGAACGUGCACUCGUCCCGGCACAGCGUCACCUCGUCGUCCGGCGUGCUCAUGGUCGGCCCGAACUUCCGGGUCGGCAAGAAAAUCGGCUGUGGUAACUUCGGCGAGCUCAGACUCGGGAAGAACCUGUAUAAUAACGAGCACGUAGCAAUUAAAAUGGAACCAAUGAAGUCAAAGGCACCACAGCUACAUUUAGAGUAUAGGUUUUACAAAUUAUUAGGUUCACAUGUUUAUAACACACAUAUAGAGGGUAUACCGGAGGUGUACUACUUCGGCCCGUGCGGGAAGUACAACGCCCUGGUGAUGGAACUCCUCGGGCCGAGCCUCGAAGACCUCUUCGACAUCUGCGGCAGGAGGUUCACCCUCAAGACCGUUCUCAACAUUGCCACACAGCUCCUUCAUAGGAUAGAAUACGUUCAUAGUCGGCAUUUGAUAUACCGCGACAUCAAGCCGGAAAAUUUUCUGAUAGGACGAUCCACUACCAAACGGGAAAAGAUAAUUCACAUAAUCGAUUUUGGACUAGCCAAAGAAUAUAUAGACUUGGAGACAAACAAACAUAUUCCCUACCGGGAACACAAGAGUCUCACUGGCACGGCGCGUUAUAUGAGCAUCAACACGCAUCUUGGCAAAGAGCAGAGCAGAAGAGACGACCUGGAAGCGCUCGGGCAUAUGUUCAUGUACUUCCUGCGCGGCAGCUUGCCGUGGCAAGGGCUCAAGGCGGACACGCUGAAGGAACGCUACCAGAAGAUCGGCGACACGAAGCGGGCGACGCCGAUCGAGGUGCUCUGCGACGGCCACCCCGAAGAGAUGGCCACGUAUCUCCGUUACGUCCGUAGACUGGACUUCUUCGAGACACCGGACUACGAAUACUUGAGGAAGCUCUUCCACGACCUGUACGAGAGACGUGGCUUCGUCAACGACGGCGAGUUCGAUUGGACCGGCAAGCCGAUGUCCACGCCUGUCGGAUCCCUCCAGACCGGUCAGGAGAUCGUCGUGUCGCCCAAUCGUGAUCGGCAUCCCGCCGCCUACAAGGACGUGGCAGGUGGAGGGGUGGGAGGUGGGGGCGGUAAAGGGGUGGGAGCCACGUGGCCAGAUACUGUGAAGCAGUCAGGAGCCGGUGGUACAUUGACACCUGCUGACAGGCACGGCUCUGUACAGGUGGUGUCGUCCACAAACGGGGAGCUGGCUAACGAUGACCCGACUGCUGGCCACUCCAACACACCAAUCACGGCGCCUCAGGAAGUGGAUAUGAUCGACGAAACCAAUGUUUGCUUCAUUUCCAGAUGCUGUUGCUUCUUCAAGCGCAAGAAGAAGAAAAGUGGAAGGCAGAAAUGACUGUCCGUUAUCGUUGGUCUCGGGGGGGCGGUGCAGUGCGCGGUUAAUAGUGCUGAACAGCCCGGGGCGGCGGCCGGGGCACGCGGCGGUGGCCUCACCGCGGCGACGUCGAGGACAAGGGGCGGCAGGCGCAGGGCGGCGGGAGGACUGGGCGACGGCGCCGGCAACAGGGACUCCAUCAGCGCCGACCCUGAGAGGGAGGCCGUCACCUUGUUGCGCGUCGGCAGCCGAUCGGCGUCCCGGGACUCGGUGCUGCACACCACCGUCACAAUGACGCCAACGCCGACUCCGCCGCCGCUGUCGAACUGAGCUCUAGCGCACCCACCACCACUAUCGUCACCACCGUCACAAUCGUCGGAAGCAUCCUACCCUGUCGUUGCUGUUAUUUGUAAUCCAGUGGACGGCCGCGUCACGCGCGACGGUCUCCAAACUCUUCAGUGUCGAGGAGCGAAAGUGAAGCCGUUUCUCCCUCUGGCCGGUCGUGUGCCGGUCCCUUCGAUAGAAAUAAGCGGACUCGACGAGGACGACGACGACGAGGACGAGGAUUAUUCGCCUUCCUCCGCUAGCCGUUCAUGAUCGUCGCGGCCGAUGAUGACUCCUCGUCGGUGUAGUGUAUCCGGAGUUCCGUGGUACUUUGUUUAUCACUGCGGUUAGAAUUGUUCUAGGUACUGUUCUGUGUAUAACGAAAGCGUCUCGCGCGCGACUGAUCGGCUCGAGUUCAUCGGCAUUUACUUAAGACUCUAGACUCGCUGCUCGAAUGCUUGAAUACCGAACCCUCUCAUUCAGACUCACGAGAGCUGCUGCCGGACUUUUUCCUUCGUUUCUCUCGCUUGUUUCUUUCUUACGCGUCGCGUUCGCCGUGCAUUCACGGGAGUGUCAUUCGAACAGAUGAGACUUAUGGUCGGCAGCGAUGUACUUUGCGACGAAUACGGAGCUGGCUUUCUCAUUGGCGGGAAUUUCAUCGCUCGUGAUCUGAAAAGUCGAACAAUGAGCGACGGCACUCGCAAUUCUAUCGCUUUCAACUGGAUUGUCGCGUAGCUGUCGUUCUAGGGAUUACCGCGUCCGACUGUUCCGAAUGACGCGUUCCCCUUCGUUGAUUGCGCGUCCUCUAAACUGAUAAAUUCAAUUGCACAGUAAUGAGGAAAUUCUACGAUAAUGAAGUUCUUGUUGAAAUUUCCAUCAAGAUCAAGGCGACGCUUUGAAUUCGGCAAAUGCAUCUUCGGCCAUCGAUAAGCUUUCUAUCUUCUCAGACAUUAGCUCUUGUAUUCCGAUUCCAGUGUAUUCUUCCUUCCAGGUGUCCCGCCCAUUACCAAUAAACAAGCCGACAAAUGUUCCUCGCGGCCUCGAGUCAUUGAUAAAAGUCGAGGCGUUUGGCGAAUCCACCACUUACCUACUUACACCGAAUGAUCCCUCUCGUUUAGCCCGGAAAGGCUGACCUCGUGCUAUUAUAAUUGCUAUUAUUGUCAUGAUUACAUUUCAUCUUGUUGCUACCACUAUCCUUACGGAUUACUACUACUACUACUAUUACUACUAUUGCUAUUAUUACUACUACUACUACUACUCUACUCUAGUGCUACGCGUGCGCGCGCACGCGCGAUUACUAUUAUUACAAUAUAUCUUUCAUUAUUAUUUUAUUUUAUUUUUAUCAUUAUUAUAUUACGCUAUUAUUAUUAUUAUUAAUAUUAUUAUUAUUAUUAUUAUUACAUUGAUCCUUCGCAAUCAUCGUCAUGAUCGUUCACAAUCACCGAAGUCCCGAUCUUCAUUGCCAUCAUCAUCAUUAUUGUCCAUUAAUUGCAUCGUUAUCGAUAUCGAUGUUAUCGCAAAUAUUGACAUGUCGCCGUUGACUGAGAAUGGUCAUCGGCCGUUGGCGGCGGCCAUGACGACGGUUCGGUACCGAUAAAUCCUGAUCAUCACCACCAUCAUCAUUAUCACACAAGUAGGAGUAAGGAAUUGACGUACCGAUGUUGAGAGGACUUGUUUGUGCCUACGACUCUCUCCUUGUACCACGGGGACGCUUUUUAAUAUACGCGGCGUGUAUAUUGCGAUAUAGUUUAUAUGCGCGCGUCGCGAUACUCUCGCGUGCGGCUCUCGUUGUGGCGAACAUCGCGUUAUAUCGUAUAUUUGAAUUGUAAACGAAUCGAAGCUAUACACAGAUCUCAUUGUACUCACAUACGCCCCCCGCAGGACGAUAAUUGAGCGUAGUGUAAUCCCCUCCCUCCCCCCCGAUAUGUAAUCGAGAGAUUUCGAUUGUCGCGAAGUCCCGAUUGCACGAUAAUGAUCCCUGAAAGGCAUGAAACUGAAACGACGAUCGCGCUCUCCAUCGUCGGCACCUCGGGAUGGGAUCGAGAGCGUACGGAAUUUGUACAUAUAAUGAGUAUCUCUCCCCUCUCUCUCUUUCUGGCCCGUUCUCCGUGUCUCACUCUUCGCCGCGUUCGCAAAUAAAAUCAUGUUACGGAAAUCGCGAGAGUGUACAGAGCGCGUGAGUGCUGCGCCAAGGAAGGAGGUGCUUGAUAAUUUGUUCGCAGGAUAUGAAGCUUACUUCUAUGAAGUGAAAUUUAUAUUUCUGUGAAAAUGAGCUUUAUCUUUUCGUGAAUAAACUUUAUAUCCUGCGACUGAACUUUCGAGUAUUUUUUCCUCAGUGUACUAUAUAGAGCGCAGGCCUCCCCAAUCUCGUCAGCAUAUACUGUUUUCCUUGUAUUUUCAAUGUUUUUUUCUUUUCCAUUCGGGGGAGAUACACCAGACAAUUUUAAAAAAAUAUAUACGUAUGUAUAUUAGGAUGUUUCUCUCUAAUGUGUACGAACAUUUUGUAUAGAGAACGAGCGAUUAUGUAACGUUAAUUCUGAGUCGUGUAUAUCGCGGGAGGAAGUACAAGAAAAGAGAGUAGCAAUAUUAGCGUAUUAUCGCACCACAAGCGUUAUCGCGACGAUACCGUGGAAGUCGUGUCCGUGUUUGUAGUCCGGAGUAUCCGAAUUAAUUGUCGAAGUGGUUUCUUUCGCGUUUCUUACACUGCCCGUCACGUUUUUCUACACUGGGACUCGUGGGACUCGUACGAUAAUUCCAUCGUCGCCGUGCUGGACGGCCGUCGCGAUUGACCGCGCGUUUGCACCGCCGUGAAACUCCAUUCCUCGAAUUAAGCGCGAGAUAUCUCUUCGUACGUAAAUAAUAUACAUCACUUUCGACACAAGGCACGCGAUAUGUGUUACUUUCUCAUCAGCGGAUGUCAUCCGUCGCUCGCUCCGCUCCCUCCCUCCCGCAAUCCCUCAAAUUUUGACGCUGGUCACGCCGGAAAUCCGUGGAGGCGCGUGCGAGUGUGUCGCACUUUCCAAAGCGAUAUCCAGUUUCGGUUUCAUGCCUUCCGCGAGACGAGAAAUUAUCAUGUGAGAGUGCGAUCUAUCGUAAGAGAGAGAACAAUUGAAAACAAUUACAUUUUACAUAACAUAUCGAUGAAGUAAGGUUUUUCUGUCUUGUAGACUCUAGAACGUAUAUAAAUGAAAGUUUAGUAGCAUGUAAAAAUGCGAACAAGUUGAAAUUACGUGACACCGCAGUCGAUUUGUGCUCCACCAGUGUGUAUAUCGGUUAUAUAAAAAGCAAAAUGAAGAAAAAAAAAAGAGAAAGAAAGACCGCGAGGAAAGAAAGGGAAACACGUUUCUUUCGAUACGAAUUCUCCUCUGGCGAAGAGAGUGCAUUUCUUCGAGGACAAUUCUUGCUUCUUGGUCCGUACGUGUUGUCGCGAUAAUGCCCAUUUGGACGAGAGACGAAGAAAAAAAAGGAGCUAACCGAUCCGCGCCUGAAUCUAUUUCGAUGUUCUUCGGCGAAACGAUGAGGAUCUGCUGCGCGCGAAAAAAACCGGGAGAAAAAAGAAAAAAAGCAACAAAAUUGGUCUGGAAACGAAAAAAGGAAGUAAGCAACCGAAGAAAGGGAGAGAGAAAGAGAGUAAUUCGAGCACGGUGUUGAUAAUGAUGCAAUAACUAAAGGAUUCAGCCGCGUAAUAACGGUCUCUGCUGCGAACUUACUCAAUCGUUAUUCCCGAUGGUGUCAUGAGAAGAGGAGAGAGUGGCGCCUGCGAAUUCCUUACGAAACCAGAGUCGAGAGAUAUUCGAGACGAAAAUACGAACUUGGGGGACAUAGGAAAACGAGGGUCGCGGGAGCUCAGCUGUGUCGAUCGAACGAUCAACAACGCGACGAGUGGCGGCGGAUCAAACGACGAGGACUCGCGCGGAGGCGACGAACGUGAAACCUGUGUGUUAUGUCCAAAGGUGUCCACACUUGUACUAGUCUGGCCGACGAACUUCGUACUACCACUCUCGAGAGAUGUGUACACAAACGUAAACCGUACUGUACCGUGUUAAAAACAAACAAAAAAAAAGAGAAAAACACCCGUACACGUUGAUAACCCAAGUAAGCGCGUCCUAUGACAGAAAACCCAUGUACUUACGGAGCUGUUGCGCGUCGAAAGGCCGCUGUACACAGGGCGUCGUGCGUGCGAUUUUUGCAUGACAAGAACGGAAGAGAGGGAGAGUACAUUCAGCGGUCGGACGUCCCGAAAAGUAAUACGCUUAAAAUAGAAAUCAGAAUCUAGAUCAUAUUCUGUGAACUUCCUCUCUCUCUCUCUUUCUCUCUCACUCAUUCUUCCUCUCUCUCUCUCUCUUCUCUCUUUGUCAUUAUCUGUAUCUUCCCAUUGGACGCACCGAGAAUAUCGUUCCUUUUUGUAAAACUUGUGCCGAUCACAAGUCGAUCAUCGAAGCAAUGAAGACGUAGUCAUCCUACUUGUACACCCUACGUUUUAUGUAUGAACGGCAAAGGAAGAAAACAAGAAAGAAAGAAAGAGAGUGAGUGACCAACGCGCGGAUGCCUGACGAAUGUCUGACGACGUGAUGUCCGCGUGUACAUGAUGCUGCGUGUGUGGAAAGAGAACGAGUCGAAAAGAAGUGUUACUAACUGCGGGGCGCUUUUAACGAGCUGAUUCGUAGUUCUCGCGUAAGUUGUAAUAAUAAUACCGUAUCUCCCACUGUACAUAAGAAACAAAAAAGAAGAAAGGAAGGAAAUAAAUGUCAAGGCGCGCGAUUAUAUAUAUAUAUAUAUAUAUAUAUAUAUAUAUAUAUAUAUAUAUAUAUAUAUAUAUAUAUAGCGCGCGCGUCCGCGAGUCGUCCUCGCGAAAGUGAUAGGAUUCGUUCUGCGCGAUCCAGCGUACGGCGGGAAAGCGGCGGCACACAUUGUAAUCCCCCCCGAUCGUGAAGAGAAUAAGACGACGCGUGAGAAGUCGACAGAGGACCGCGAGGAGUCUCCGUAUUUAUAUCACUGUCCUGCCACCGAGUCCGCGUUGGCGUAAUAUAAUAAAUAUUCUGCUGCAACCAUGUUGCAAGGUUUA